Megalopta genalis is the source of this 953-nucleotide non-coding RNA. The record is from RefSeq and is a predicted model, not a curated record. Lineage: Eukaryota; Metazoa; Arthropoda; Insecta; Hymenoptera; Halictidae.
GCGAAGUACCUCAAAGGAAACGAAGAUAUCGAGCACGCCGAAGGAGAAAACGGAGGGCAGCCUGAUUCCGCAGGGCGCUCAGGAUGUUGCUCGUCGUCCUCCUUCUCCUGCUUCUCGAUCGUGGUGAUCUCGAUGCUGGGCGUCUCCGCGAUGGUGUAGCGGCUCAGAUCGGGCGCCUUCUCCCUGGUCCGGCACCUCAGAUGAUUCUCCACCAGCCUGCCGGUCAGCUCCAACCUGCUGUCGCAUGAGUUGCUCUUCACCAGCCGGAACUUGACGUAAUCGUUCGACCUGUCCGCGCACUUGAACCUGUUCUCGACGACCGGCGCGAUCAGAGGGCCGUUGCUCGAGUUCACCACCUUGCCGCCGUAGUAGGUCACCGAGGUGCCGCACUCCCGGAUCUUCUUCAGGACGUCCUGGGAGACGUAGUGGCUGGAGUUGUGGGUGUCGUUGCCCUCGUCCUCGUGGCAGUCGACCUCCUCGUCCUCCGAGGAGAUGCACUGCACUCCGCUGCCGGGAUCGGUGUCCGGAUAGUCGCUGGACACCCCGGAGCUGACGCUGCCGGCGUCCCAGUUGUGGUGAUGGUACCGGUUCACCUUGUUCUUCGAGGACGUCGAAUCGCUGGGAGACGUGUGGCCGCUCCUAGCUUCGAACGACUGGGCCAGGAUCCGCGUUUUCGACUCGGAACGCGGACUGUCCAGCUCGUCCUUGCCGCCCACCACCGAAGCGUUCGAAGACGUCGACUUCUCCAUGUUCUCGAACAGCCUCGUCAGGUCCUUGGCUCUGCUCGAACACCUGGACCUGGAACAAAAGAAGACGUCGCAACGCUUAGAUGUCACAGUCUUCUUGUAUUUCUCUUAAUAACAAAGUUUAGUCAGGAUUAUUCCUGGCUUCUCCGUCGCCUAUGCGACGCCUGUAUAUUACUUCUUCCGUAAUAAAGAGUUUCUCUACCCGCA